UGGCGGACGGGUGAGUAACGCGUAGGAACCUGACGCGCAGUGGGGGAUAACGCUGGGAAACCGGCGCUAAUACCGCAUGUGGUCGCAAGAAGAAAGCAGCAAUGCGCUGUGUGAGGGGCCUGCGUCCGAUUAGCUAGUUGGUGGGGUAAAGGCGUACCAAGGCACCGAUCGGUAGCUGGUCUGAGAGGGCUGACGGCCACACUGGGACUGAGACACGGCCCAG
RNAcentral lists this ribosomal RNA (223 nucleotides) under uncultured bacterium. Its description in RNAcentral is "partial 16S ribosomal RNA". It matches the Rfam family "Bacterial small subunit ribosomal RNA", at positions 96 to 334 of the family's 1533-position model. The record is from RNAcentral.